GACGAACGCUGGCGGCGUGCUUAACACAUGCAAGUCGAACGGAAAGGCCCUGCUAUUGUGCGGUGCUCGAGUGGCGAACGGGUGAGUAACACGUGUGUAACCUGCCCUUGACUUUGGGAUAACUUCAGGAAACUGGGGCUAAUACCGUAUAGGAGCUCCUGCUGCGUGGUGGGCGGUGGAAAGUCUCGGCGGUUGGGGAUGGACUGGCGGCUUAUCAGCUUGUUGGUGGGGGAGUGGUUUACCAAGGCAUUGGCGGGUAGGCCGCACGGGAGGGGGACCGGGCACCAUAGGCCUGCGGGACGGACCAGUGGCCAACGGGGGGCAAUGGGGGGGAAUAUUACCCAGUCGGCCGAAGUCGGUGGAGGAGACCUCCGGGUUGUGAAGACGGUCUUUGGGGUAUGAACCGCUUUCGCCUGUGACGAAGCGGGAGUGACGGUAAUGGGUAAAGAAGCACCGGCUAACUACGUG
RNAcentral lists this ribosomal RNA (468 nucleotides) under uncultured bacterium. RNAcentral describes it as "partial 16S ribosomal RNA". It matches the Rfam family "Bacterial small subunit ribosomal RNA", at positions 28 to 507 of the family's 1533-position model. The record is from RNAcentral.